GUUAACUAUGAAAUACAGGUAGAUUCAAAUAUCACUAAUUUUUACAAUGAUGAAUUAGAAUCCGACGUCCCAAUAAUUUUUAAUAUGAUUAAAUGGAAGAAAUGAUGGCAACUAAAGCCUACUCAACAGAAAGAACUAAAUUUAGCUAAACACACGUCAUUAUAUUAAUCACUAAUCCUGUCUUUCUCUCCACCAAAGCAAUCUCUCCUUUUCUCUCUAUCCAAAGAUUCAUCUACACAAAUUUUUUUUAAUUUUUAAUUAAAUUUAAAUUUAGUAAUAUUAACGCUAAAGACUCCAACCAAAGCAAAGCUCACGCAUAGAAAUCUUUAAAUACGAGCAUUUAGAGAAUGGCUCUGACAAGCACCCCUUGGAGGAACCACCCACACUCACAGGGGAGAGGAAAUAUCACUCAGCGAAAAGAGUAACCCAUCUGAUCUCUCUCUCUUGUCUUCUUUGUUAGUCCCACUUUGUACUUCCAAUCACAUUUCUGAUUCUCCUAUUCAACGGUCCUGAUCUUUUCUUCCUCUUCUGUCUUCACUCCUUACCCAUUUCUUGAUAUUGUUUCUUGUUUCUUUUAUCUUCACCUCACCCGGCCACAUUCAAGUCUCUCUCUGAAAUCCACCAAAUGGGUGAUCUCAUCCAUUUUUCCUUGUCUUCUCUGCUUCUGCUGCUGCUUACAGUGACGAGUUUAUUCCUGAUAAGAGUAGAAUCAAAGACCUAUUGGCAAGAUGUUGAAGUUUUGAGAGCGCUUAGAAAUGGGAUUGAGCCAACCUCUGUCACUCCUGGCUCCUGCUUAAGCUCUUGGGACUUCUCCGUUGAUCCUUGCGAUAACUUGUUCAGUGAGCGUUUCACUUGUGGGUUCAGAUGCGACCUUUUUGUCUCCGGCAAGAGUCGAGUCACCGAACUCAAUCUUGAUCAGGCCGGUUACUCUGGUUCACUUGCAAACAUUUCUUGGAACCUCCCUUAUCUGCAGAAUGUCGACCUGUCAAGUAAUAAUUUCUAUGGCCAAAUUCCCGAGUCCUUUUCCAAUCUCACUCGUCUGAGUCGGCUCGCCCUUUCAAGAAACUGGUUUUCCGGCAAGAUACCCAUGUCGCUUGGCUCGCUCGCUAACCUCGAGGAGCUAUACCUCGAUAACAACAUCCUUGAAGGCACCAUUCCUGCAAGUUUCAAUGGUCUGAUUAGCUUAAAAAGGCUCGAAAUUCAGUCAAACAAGCUAUACGGUGAGUUUCCCGAGUUGGGUUCUCUGAAAAGCCUCUACUUUUUAGAUGCUAGUGACAAUGCCAUAGCUGGUGAAGUCCCAGCUACACUUUCAUCAUCUCUGGUUCAAAUCUCCAUGAGAAACAACAGCUUGGAAGGAACCAUCCCAGAAAGUUUCAAAAACCUGGGUUAUUUACAAGUACUGGAUCUGAGUCACAAUAAACUGAGCGGCUCAGCCCCUUCCCUUCUCUUUAACCACCCAUCUCUGCAACAGCUAACUCUCUCAUUCAAUUACUUCACAGCCAUACAAUCACCAGCACCUAUUGCUCCUUCAACCACCAUCCAGAGUGAACUGAUAGCCAUCGAUUUAAGCAACAACCAGCUUCAAGGAUUUUUACCCUCGUUUCUGGCUUUUAUGCCAAAGUUGUCUGCAUUGUCACUAGAGAACAACAAAUUGACAGGGAUGAUACCGACCCAAUUCGCCAUUAAAACAGCGGUGCCAGGAUCCGGAUUCUCACCGUUUGUGAGGCUAUUGCUGGGAGGGAACUACUUGUUUGGACCGAUACCGGUGCCGUUAAUGGAGCUGAAAGAAGGGUCGGUGGACGUGAGACUAAACGAUAACUGCUUGUACCGGUGCCCGGUAACUUUGUUUUUCUGUCAGGGUGGUGAUCAGAAAUCGUUAACGGAGUGUAAAAGCUUUAGCGCUUUUAUUCCCUAAACAAAUCCAUGUAAUCGCUGUAGCUUUUUUAAAUAAUAUAAUAUGUCCAUUGCUCGAUCUACGUGAGUUUAAUAUUUUAUAAAUAUGUAAAAGGAAUUGAAGAAACGUCGUCCAUGUGAAGAAAGGGUUUGGUUGAUAAUAAUAUAAAGCAGGAUUAGUUAGUGGAGGAAUACAAGUUUAAUAAUGAUGAGGAAGAUGUAAUUAGAUUAAGGUGAUCCAGUCCUGGAUAUUUUUGGCCCAUACUCUGACACAACUAUGCUGGUUAUCCACGUGAAUUUAUGGUAGACGUGGGGUAGACAGGCAUGAAGUGGUCGUACGUAGUAACGUAGACCGCCGUUAGUGUUGGUGUAGGUGGUCCACUGUCUGUCCGCCUUACUUUUUGGGUAGAUGCGAAGCUGUUCACGUGUUCUAUUUUUUUCUUCAUUAUCUUCACUUCA
Molecule: unclassified non-coding RNA, 2352 nt
Filed under: Hevea brasiliensis (rubber tree)
Lineage: Eukaryota; Viridiplantae; Streptophyta; Magnoliopsida; Malpighiales; Euphorbiaceae
Source: RNAcentral